CUUGCAGGGUACUCGAGUGGCGAACGGGUGGGUAACACGUGGGUGAUCUGCCCUGCACUUCGGGAUAAGCUUGGGAAACUGGGUCUAAUACCGGAUAGGAGCCAUCUUUAGUGUGGUGGUUGGAAAGUUUUUCGGUGUAGGAUGAGCUCGCGGCCUAUCAGCUUGUUGGUGGGGUAAUGGCCUACCAAGGCGGCGACGGGUAGCCGGCCUGAGAGGGUGUACGGCCACAUUGGGACUGAGAUACGGCCCAG
This 251-nucleotide ribosomal RNA is filed under the name uncultured Actinomycetales bacterium. RNAcentral describes it as "partial 16S ribosomal RNA". It matches the Rfam family "Bacterial small subunit ribosomal RNA", at positions 79 to 334 of the family's 1533-position model. Lineage: Bacteria; Bacillati; Actinomycetota; Actinomycetes; Actinomycetales. The record is from RNAcentral.